Molecule: ribosomal RNA, 194 nt
Filed under: uncultured bacterium
Lineage: Bacteria
Description: partial 16S ribosomal RNA
Rfam family: Bacterial small subunit ribosomal RNA
Source: RNAcentral
UCGGAUUGUAGGCUGAAACUCGCCUACAUGAAGCUGGAAUUGCUAGUAAUCACAGGUCAGCAUACUGUGGUGAAUACGUUCCCGGGCCUUGUACACACCGCCCGUCACACCAUGAGAGUUGAGAAUACCCGAAGCCCAUGUCAAAGUGGUCGAAGGUAGGCUUGAUGAUUGGGGUGAAGUCGUAACAAGGUAUC